UCUCCUGUAGCUCAGUGAUAGAGCGUCCGACCGGUGUGCGGAAGCUACAACGGUCACAGGUUCAACUCCUGUCGGAAGAA
Non-coding RNA from Desmophyllum pertusum, 80 nucleotides. The record is from the annotation of a GenBank genome assembly. Lineage: Eukaryota; Metazoa; Cnidaria; Anthozoa; Scleractinia; Caryophylliidae.